AUACCCGCUGAACUUAAGCAUAUCAAUAAGCGGAGGAAAAGAAACCAACAGGGAUUGCCUUAGUAACGGCGAGUGAAGCGGCAAUAGCUCAAAUUUGAAAUCUGGCUCUUUCAGAGUCCGAGUUGUAAUUUGUAGAAGAUGCUUCGGCUUACGUAUCGGUCUAAGUUCCUUGGAACAGGACGUCACAGAGGGUGAGAAUCCCGUUUGUGGCCGGUACUUCCGCCAUGUGAAGCUCCUUCGACGAGUCGAGUUGUUUGGGAAUGCAGCUCUAAAUGGGAGGUAAAUUUCUUCUAAAGCUAAAUAUUGGCCAGAGACCGAUAGCGCACAAGUAGAGUGAUCGAAAGAUGAAAAGCACUUUGGAAAGAGAGUUAAAAAGUACGUGAAAUUGUUGAAAGGGAAGCGCUUGCGACCAGACUUGCCUUUAGUUGCUCCGCCGGUCCUUCGACCGGUGUAUUCUUCUAUUGUCAGGCCAGCAUCAGUUUGGGUGGUUGGAUAAAGGCAUCGGGAAUGUGACUCUCUUCGGGGAGUGUUAUAGCCCUUUGUGCAAUACAGCCUACCUAGACUGAGGACCGCGCUUCGGCUAGGAUGCUGGCGUAAUGGUCGUAAGCGGCCCGUCUUGAAA
RNAcentral lists this ribosomal RNA (622 nucleotides) under Parahelicomyces paludosus. RNAcentral describes it as "partial 28S ribosomal RNA". It matches the Rfam family "Eukaryotic large subunit ribosomal RNA", at positions 21 to 659 of the family's 3401-position model. Lineage: Eukaryota; Fungi; Ascomycota; Dothideomycetes; Tubeufiales; Tubeufiaceae. The record is from RNAcentral.